This 50-nucleotide non-coding RNA is filed under the name unclassified sequences. RNAcentral describes it as "chromate-resist RNA". It matches the Rfam family "chrB-b RNA". The record is from RNAcentral.
CGGGGAUGUCGCAGCCUCUCCGUCAGAUGGCGAUCUCAUUCAAGCGCUGC